RNAcentral lists this ribosomal RNA (253 nucleotides) under uncultured bacterium. Its description in RNAcentral is "partial 16S ribosomal RNA". It matches the Rfam family "Bacterial small subunit ribosomal RNA", at positions 524 to 776 of the family's 1533-position model. The record is from RNAcentral.
UACGUAGGGGGCUAGCGUUGUCCGGAAUCAUUGGGCGUAAAGCGCGUGUAGGCGGCCCGGUAAGUCCGCUGUGAAAGUCGGGGGCUCAACCCUCGAAUGCCGGUGGAUACUGUCGGGCUCGAGUACGGAAGAGGCGAGUGGAAUUCCUGGUGUAGCGGUGAAAUGCGCAGAUAUCAGGAGGAACACCGAUUGCGAAGGCAGCUCGCUGGGACGUAACUGACGCUGAGACGCGAAAGCGUGGGGAGCGAACAGG